RNAcentral lists this ribosomal RNA (119 nucleotides) under Rhodospirillaceae bacterium BRH_c57. The record is from RNAcentral. Lineage: Bacteria; Pseudomonadati; Pseudomonadota; Alphaproteobacteria; Rhodospirillales; Rhodospirillaceae.
GAUCUGGUGGUCAUGGCGCCGGCGAAACACCCGAUCCCAUCCCGAACUCGGCCGUGAAAACCGGCUGCGCCAAUGGUACUGCGUCUUAAGGCGUGGGAGAGUAGGUCGCCGCCAGGUCU